Ailuropoda melanoleuca (giant panda) is the source of this 130-nucleotide small nucleolar RNA. The record is from Ensembl. NCBI's taxonomy places the organism in Eukaryota, Metazoa, Chordata, Mammalia, Carnivora, Ursidae.
GCUGAGGUUUAUCCCGAUGCGGCUUUUUCUGUAGACCUACACCAUUGGGAACGCCUCAUACAGAAUACGUGUGGUUUCCUUUGUUCACAGAACCAUGUUUAGAUCUGUGGGAAAGAACUACAGGACAUCG